GACGCACGUGAAGAGGCUGCAUGGUGAGAUGCAAACCUCUCUGGAUGAAAGGGCAGCUGGCACGCCAGGCUGGCGGCGGUUUUUUUGCCAUCUCCUCCUUCUUUAUUCUGCUGCGAUUUGGAAAGCUUGCAGAACGUGACGAGGGAGCACCCUUGUGGUAUGCAGAGGGGGAAGAGAGCAGCAAAAUCUUCCAUCAGGUGAUUCAAGUGCACGCCUGAGUUCUGAUGAUGGGAGCCUGGUCUCAGAAACCAAGACAGAGAUGUGGGCUUGCAGCCCCACUGGCUCAUGAACCAUCUGAACACUUCUGGGGCCCAGGACUCUCUCUUCAACGGCAGGGAGACGUAGUGACUCCCCGCCUGUUUUCACCACUGGAGGGGCUGGAGAGAAUAAAAACGCUCUGGUUUGAGCGCACCUCAGUCCGGGGCCAUAAACGCUUGUGCUCUGCAUACCGACAACUGCGCAUCAAACAAAGGUGUCCUUACCCUGUGCUACGAGAUAGAAAAACCCCGAAUGGUGGAGAAGAAAGAAGAAGGAAAACUGACAGAAACCUGACGUUUAUUGAGGGACUUCUGGGAUCAUGGACGUUCAGUGUGAAUAGAACUCAUGAUGAGACCAAAGAAGAAGGAGAAGAAAGAGAAGAAGAUAACUCAGAGAUGACCCUGGGAGACGGAGCCAUGCUGUUGGGACUGGAGCUAAAAUAUCAUAGAGUGCCUGAUGGUGAUCAAAGAAUAUCUUUGCCUUUCUUGGAAGCCACACCAGCCUUUUUCAGCCGCUUUAAGCGAGGGGAGAGCCACUCUGGUUCAUCCCAGGAGAGGGUCCCUGACCAACGGGGAAGACUUUCCCACAAGGAGUUUGCUCCAAAGCAUAAAGGGUUCGGUCUCCUGCCUCUCAUUCAAAAAGUUUUUAAGGCCUUUCGCAGGAAACAAUUUAAAACCAGCUGCACUUAUCGAUCAGCGAUUUGAUUUUGCUUUGUUAGGAGGGAUUUGUAAUCUGCUUUUAAAUGUUUUUUUCUUCCUGGCCUUCUUUGAUAGCGAGUUCUGCCUGAGGCAACUUCUCAAAAACUUGUCACUGGAGCUUUCAAGUCUAUGUGAACAACUGGAAUACUUUUAAUCUGGACCCUUCCUCUCUCCCCACUACCUCGUCCCUUCUGUAGGCGUGGAGGACACGUGGGAGGGUUGUAAACAUCUUCCAACCAAAUCAUAUCAAGCCUAUUAAAAAAAUUACUUGCCUUUAAACAGCAGCCACGGGCGUAGAGUAAGGGAGAAAAUUUGAAGCACAGAGUCGCAGAGUAUCCAUCAGACUUCCUUUUCUCCAGUAGAUUUAGUGAAUCUCAAAAUGUAAAUCACUUCCAAAGCCUUGUUUGUGCUGCAAUUGAAAAAUGAAUUGCAAAUAUAUAUGUAUAUGUAUAUGUGUAUGAAUUGUAGCAGAACCUAUGUCACAGAGAGGCUUUCUGGAAACUUCCCUCACCACUAUUUAUUUAUUUAUUUAUUUAUUUUGACAGGCAGAGUGGACAGUGAGAGAGAGAGACAGAGAGAAAGGUCUUCCUUUGCCGUUGGUUCACCCUCCAAUGGCCGCUGGGCCGGCGCGCUGCGGCUGGCGCACCACACUGAUCCGAUGGCAGGAGCCAGGUACUUAUCCUGGUCUCCCAUGGGGUGCAGGGCCCAAGCACUUGGGCCAUCCUCCACUGCACUCCCUGGCCACAGCAGAGAGCUGGCCUGGAAGAGGAGCAACCAGGACAGAAGCCGGAGCCCCGACCGGGACUAGAACCCGGUGUGCCGGCGCCGCAAGGCAGAGGAUUAGCCUAGUGAGCUGCGGCGCCGGCCCCCUCACCAUUUUCAAAGGCAGUGCCUGUGCCUCCCGUGGCACGGUGAGCCACUUCCUUUGUGUCUUCCUAAGCUACCUCAAAAGAGUGGCUGUUUCCUUAUCAUCGCUUGAAUUAGAGACCAGAAGGCGUGCUCCUGAUUUAACUAAUCGCUUCGGGUAUUUCUCAAGCUUACAGAAACCAAAAGUGUUUGUAAGAUAUCUGUUCUUUGAUUUUUCUUGAUGAAAUGGACACGCAUGCUAUUUUUAUCAUGUACACACAUGCGUACGCAUAUAUGAUCUUUAUGAAUUUAUUGAGCAAGAAACAAGUAGGUGAGGAAAACAUACUUUUCAAGUCCACUUUGCUUGUCAUUCAUACACAUUCUACAGAUUAUUCCUGAAUGUUUACAGGUCCGGCGUGGACUGAUUUUACACCAAAGAAGAGGGUAACACAUCUUCAUUGUUUAUAAAAAUAACAGCUCCUAAUGGACCAUAUUAGCUUUAACACAAACUCGUCAAGCCCCUUCAUUACACUGCUCCGUGUUCUGUUUCGGCAUCUCGUGAGCUCUGGGAAGUAGGUGCAAACUCCUAAGGAAACAUGAGACACAUUGAGACGAUUAGAGAUCAUGGUUAUUAGAUAAGCCCCGGGAGGAUGUUUUUCUUGGGCCGCUCACAAGCAUUUUGAAAGAGUCGUGCUCCAGGUCUGAGGUCCCGUGUUUCUUCCUCUUAAACUAUGAGCAGCUGUAGCAUAUGACCUACUUCUGUAGGGCCCUGUAAUGAUUUCCUUCCUUCGAAGGCUUCGGGAGCCCUCCUUCUGCCCUGUGAAAAAAGGGACAAAUAUGUUAAUCCAAGCAAAAUGCUGAAGCAGGUUUUGUUGGUUUCAGGGAAGAAACUCAAUACAGCUCCAGCGCGGCGUGGAGGCCUCAAAUUGGAGCCAUCUGGGCUGCAAAGGGGCUCUGAGACCUUUGGGGAAGGCCGAGGCAGCCUUGCCUAGGGCUGCGGCCCAUACACCUGCAGACGCGGCCUCGGCCGGCCUCACCCGGGAGCCGCUGCCGCUCACAUGCGCGGGACGCUUGCAGUCGGGGCUAUCCUGGAAGGAGGUGGUGCCAGGUGCCGGCUGAUUAAGUGAAUUCGCCUGGCAGCCAGAGGAGCGCCUCACUAUUCCUGGGAACGUCUUUGACACAAACCAGACGGAAUCACAUCUCCUACCUUUUUACUUUGUAGCAGUCAGCGAAGAAAGUGCUUGGGAAACUCUAGGUUGGUCUACACUGUGUUUUCUGAGUUAGCCUCAAAGCUGGAGGGAGAAAGGAGGUGUUUGAAAAAGCAACGCACUGGUGUUUGACAUUCUCCGUAUUUUUUAAAAUUGUUUAGAGGGUUAUUAUUCUUGUGGGCUAGUUUUAGGUUCCAAUUAAGAAAAAUGAAGCUUUUUUUUUCCCCCAAGUGUAGCUCUGCUAUCUAAAUACAGAUGAGGCCAGUUCCCUAGAACUUAUUUUAAAGUCACUUAAAAAUAUUUUGCGUUGCAUACUCUCAAUGGGUGUGAGAUGAACAUUUCAUGCCAUUUCCAAAUAAAAAGGACAAGGACGUUGACUUGGAGUCA
This is a long non-coding RNA of Oryctolagus cuniculus (rabbit), 3397 nucleotides long. Lineage: Eukaryota; Metazoa; Chordata; Mammalia; Lagomorpha; Leporidae. The record is from Ensembl.